This 103-nucleotide microRNA precursor is filed under the name Marmota monax (woodchuck). Lineage: Eukaryota; Metazoa; Chordata; Mammalia; Rodentia; Sciuridae. The record is from RNAcentral.
AGUGGGAUAGCUGGGUCAAAUGGUGGUUCUAUUCCAAAUUUUGUGAGAAAUCUCAAUACUGCUUUCCAAAGUGGUUGCACCAACUUGCAAUCCCAUCAACAAU